Molecule: non-coding RNA, 796 nt
Organism: Paramuricea clavata
Lineage: Eukaryota; Metazoa; Cnidaria; Anthozoa; Malacalcyonacea; Plexauridae
Source: the annotation of a GenBank genome assembly
AAAAAAGGUAAUGUAGGUCCACUGCUGUUUAUCUGACUUUUCAAGCCACUAUUUGACGUUUGACUAUGAGUAUUGCAUGGUCAUUUUCUUGUGAAAUAUCAGUGCUUGGCAUUUCAUACUUACCAAUGACCACCUCUAAAAGCACCAUCUCUGAACCAUAUAAGCACCUCAGAAUAGUCAAAGCUUUUAUGGUUUGGUAGAUAGCACUAUGGCGAAAGCGUCGUUUUUGGGUGUGGUCAGUUUCGGACGUUUCGUCCCGGAUUCCGGUUCGGGCAGCGUUACCAUGUUGAUCGUCAUGGUCAACUUGCCUUAAAACAGUUGAGAUUAUCUGUCCUAAAUGAAAUGCAUACAAACUCAUAUGCAGAUCCUAGACUAACGCCAUGGAGAGGUUUUUGUUUUGAAAUGAUAUGACAAGUACUUGAUAAACAGUAAGUUCCAUUCCAUGUGAAAACAUUACAAUGUCGUUGUUGUCAGUUUUCAAGUAGUGAUUUUUACAAGACAUGCAAAUUGUGCACAUUCUAAUACUUCCAAGAAAUUCACAUGUGAUUCAAUUUAAAUUUUAACAUUUUCUUGACAUGCAUCAAUUUUAUAAAUAGAGAUUGCUCCACAUCUUCUAAGAUAUCAUUGGGCGUAUAUUGAUUAACACCUAAUAUAAAAAGACUUGCUAACUAAAGUUUAACUGAAAAUGUUAUCCAGAGGUAAUAUCCGUAGUCUGUAGUCAGAUUUCAAACUGGAUAAUUUAAUAAUAAUUCUUUAAACUCAACAAUCAAAGUAAAGUAAAAAUGUAAAAUGUCAA